CUGCACUCUUCAUGGAAGGUGGAAGGUUUGGGAUAGUUACAGUAUGCAGAGCUGGUAAGAGCUAGCCUGCCUGUCCUCCUGACCACUAUAUUCUGUCCAGUCGCGGUCAGAAAGCUUUUUCCAUCCACUUACUUAUUGAAAUAUUUAGAUUACUAGAGUACUACAGUUCAUAUUUUAUUACAGUCUAUCUCAAUCCCGUACAAGCAUUUUUUUUCAUAACAAGAAUCCACAAGAAACAGAACUUUGUGGGCUUUUGCAAAACAGUAAAUCCAUUUUCAAGGUGAAGUUGCCUUCUCAAAACAUAAGUAAAUUCAUCAAAAGAACAUGACUGCCUGCAAGAACAUUAACACAACCAUACUUAUCUCUCGAGUCCAAGCAGACAAAACAGGAAGUUAAAGUAUUUUAAAAAUCCCAGUAGAUCAACACAUUUUAUUUCUAUUUCUAUUUUUUGGUCACUAAAUCCUGAUGAUUAAAAUUGGAAGCACAACUAUCUAAAGGUGUGGAAUGAUGGGCAAAUAUUUCACCAAACAAUUUCAUACACAGGAAAUCAAAUAUAAUUCCUGGUAAAAACAUUGAAAAAAAUAAGCACAUUGUGUGCAGGACUCAUUCAUCGGUAUCAUCACAAUCCAAUUCCAUGUAUUCAAUUCAAAAGUUGGUUCGCUGAUAGUUUAAAAAAAACUUUCCAUAGCUACACAGAAACACAAUUCACAAUAGAACAUGGAAAAGUGAAUACAAUGGAGAAACACUACUGAUAUGAACCUAUAAGUCUAAAUCCACACCAAAGCAAAGCUCUAUACUGGAAGGUCACAAUGUGGGAGAUGAAAAGGAACCCAACUUAAUUGUUUGCGUCUCUGCAUAUCCGCAAUACUGCAAAAAAAAAAUCUAAAUCAUAACAAUUAGACAGUCCCCAUUGUCUAGAUCUUCCCAUAUAUUUUACAUAGUAUCACACUGAUGGGAUGAUUUAGAAUUUUGCCCAGUAGUAUUUACUGAUUGCCGGGAAAUUUCACACAUUUCUCUUCUGAUGAAAACAAUGUGUUAAUAGUCCAUGAACGGGUACUAAGGCAAGAAAAUGAUCAGAAGUUCUGUAAAUGUACACUGUAAUGUGAACGCAACAUGUUAAGUGUUGGUCCCAUGUUUCAUGAGCUGAAAUAAAAGAUCCCAGAAGUGUUCCACACACACAAGGUUAUUUCUCUCAAAUGUUGAGCACAUAUUUUUUUACAACCCUAUUAGUGAGCAUUUCUCCUUUGCCAAGAUAAUCCAUCCACCUGACAGGUGUGACAUAUGUAGAAGCUGAUUAAACAUCAUUACUUUGAUUAAACAUCAUUACACAGGUGCACCUUGUGCUGUGAACAAUAAAAGGCCACUCUAAAAUUUAAUUUUUUGUUUUGAGGGAGCGUGCAAUUGCCAUGCUGAGUGCAGGAAUGUCCACCAGAGCUUUGCCAGAUAAUUUAAUGUUAAUUUCUUUUACCAUCAAAUCAAAUGUUAUUUGUCACAUGCACCGAAUACAACAGGUGUAGAUCUUACCGUGAAAUGCUAACUUACAAGCCCUUCACCAACAAUGCAGUUCAAGAAAUAGAGUUAAGAAAAUAUUUACUAAAUAAACUAAAGGAAAAAAUGUAAUAAAAGUAACAAUAAAAUAACAAUAACGAGGCUAUAUACAGGGGGUACCGGUACCAAGUCAAUGUGCAGGGGUACAGGUUAGUCGAGGUAAUUUGUACAUGUAGGUAGGGGUAAAGUGACUAUGCAUAGAUAAUAAACAGUGAGUAGCAGCAGUGUAAAAACAAAAGGGGGGAGUCAAUGCAAAUAGUCAGGGUGACCAUUUAAUUAAUUGUUCAGCAGUCUUGUGGCUUGGGGAUAGAAGCUGUUAAUUAAGGAGCCUUUUGGACCUAGACUUGGAGCUCCGGAACCGCUUGCCGUGCAGUAGCAGAGAGAACAGUCUAUGACUUGGGUGACUGGAGUCUUUGACAAUUUUUUGGGCCUUCCUCAGACACUGCCUAGCAUAUAGGUCUUGGAUGGCAGGAAGCUUGGUCCCAGUGAUGUACUGGGCGUACGCACUACCCCCUGUAGCGCCUUAUGGUGGGAGGCCGAGCAGUUGCCAUACCAGGAUGUGAUAGAACCGGUCAGGAUGCUCUCGAUGGUGUAGCUGUAGAACUUUUUGAGGAUCUGGGACCCAUGACAAAUCUUUUUUGAGGGGGAAAGGUUUUGUUGUGCCCUCUUCAGGACUGUGUUGAUGUGUUUGGACCAUGUUAGUUUGUUGGUGAUGUGGACAACAAGGAACAUGAAACUCUCGACCUGCUCCACUACAGCCCAUUCGAUGUGAAUGGUGGCAUGUUCGGCCCUCCUUUUCCUGUCGUCCACAAUCAUCUCCUCUGUCUUGCUCACAGUGAGGGAAAGUUUGUUGUCCUGGCCUAUAGGCUGUCUCAUCAUUGUCGGUGAUCAGACCUACCACUGUUGUGCAAACUUAAUGAUGGUGUUGGAGUCGGGUGUGAACAGGGAGUACAGAAGGCGACUACCACAAGCCGCCGUCAACGUGGUUUUAGAGGAUUGGGCACUACGUCCAACUGACCUCACAACCGCAGACCACGUGUAUGGUGUCAUGUGGGCGAGCGGUUUGCUGAUGGCAACAUUGUGAACAGAGUGCCCCAUGGUGGCAGUGGGGUUAUGGUAUGGCAGGCAUAAGCUACGGACAAUGAACACAAUUGCAUUUUAUCAAUGGCAAUUUGAAUGCACAGAAAUAAGGCCUAUUUUGAGGCCCAUUUUUUAAAGGUAUCUUUGACCAACAGAUACAAAUCUGUAUUCGCAGUCAUUUAAAAUCCAUAGAUUAGGGCCUAAUGAAUGCAUUUAAAUUGACUGAUUUCCUCAUAUGAACUGUAACUCAGACAAUGCAAAUAGUCCAGGUAACCAUUUGGUUGUUCAGGAGUCUUAUGGCUUGUUUGGUCCAAUCUAGUUGGUUGUUGAUGUGGACACCCAAGAACUUGAAGCUCUCAACCUGCUCCACUACAGCCCCGUCGAUGAGAAUAGGGGCGUGCUCGGUGCUCCUUUUCCUGUAGUCCACAAUCAUCUCCUUAGUCUUGGUUACGUUGAAGGAUAGGUUGUUAUUCUGGCACCACCCGGCCAGGUCUCUGACCUCCUCUCUAUAGGCUGUCUCGUCGUUGUCGGUGAUCAGGCCUACCACUGUUGUGUCGUCAGCAAACUUAAUGAUGGUGUUGGAGUCGUGCCUGGCCAUGCAGUCGUGGGUGAACAGGGAGUACAGGAGGGGACUGAGCACUUACCCCUGGGGAGCUCCAGUGUUGAGGAUCAGCGUGGCAGAUGUGUUGCUACCUACCCUCACCACCUGGGGGCGGCCAGUCAGGAUGUCCAGGAUCCAGUUGCAGAGGGAGGUGUUUAGUUCCAGGAUCCUUAGCUUGGUGAUGAGCUUUGAGGGUACUAUGGUGUUGAACGCUGAGCUGUAGUCAAUGAACAGCAUUCUCACAUAGAUGUUCCUUUCGUCCAGGUGGGAAAGGGCAGUGUGGAGUGCAAUAGAGAUUGCAACAUCUGUGGAUCAACCAAUCAUGUUGUAAAGCAAAACAUUAUAAUUAUAAGAUGAGAUUAUCAACAUGAAAUUCAUGAAAUUGUAGGCUACUCCAAAAUAUGAUCGAUAAGUGAUGGAAGGUAUACUUUUGAUUCUUUCCCCUUGGAUACUGCUGUAAGAGUAAGCCUACAACAUAUGAAAACAGUCAUAGAAAUCAUUAAUGUCUUCAAGGAUCUCCUUAUACUCUGCGGUAUCCCGGUCCAGGUGCAUCUCUUUUUCCACCCAUGAAAUGAGCUGUUUUGCUUGAUUCUUGUUGAUUAUCCCCUUCCUGUGGUACGCUUCGACCAGCUCAAUGUAGCCACAUCUGUAGUAGUGCCUUGUUCCUUCAUCAGACAUGUCAAUGUUACCAUCGGUAUAUGGUGCGGCCAAUCCUAGAAUAAGUACAUCGUUUCAAAUAGGGAAAAUUUGAACUUUAAAGUGGCAUUUUACUCAAAAAGCAAUUAUGCAUUUUUAUUUAAAAAUAUGUUUUUCAUUAGUCCAUUUUUGAUGAAAUCCCAAAUUGUCCCACACAUUGAAGGCAUUUAGCUUCAAGUCGCCAGGAAAGCAAGAGCAAGUGUUGAUAACAGUAUUCUAGGAACUAAACAAGUUUUCUAUUAGUCUAGCUCUGAUGCUCCAUUAUUCAAAAUGAUGAUAUUCUGAGACCAUAUCAAUGGUGGACUGGUGAGAAAUAUACUGUAUGCAUAUCUUCGUUUUUUUGUAAAAUACUCCUAAUAUAACAUACAGGCAAACUCAGCGACUAAGACAAACUUAGUGAAAAUGUUACUUUUGUAAGCGACACUAAAGAUCUACAGUGUCUACUGUAAGAUGAGGGAACAGGAAAAGAAUCCAUGUUUUUACCUGCGUCUUCUCUGAGCUGCCAGGAAGAUAUAGGAUGACCCAUGAUAAAAGCCUUCCUCAGCAUAAGUGCAGCAUCUCCGUCUACGAUUGUCUCUGCCAGCAGAUGACUAGAACACAGAAAACAUGACAACGGAAAAGGUGAUGACCACACCUAUGUUUUGAUGGCUGAGAAUAACUACGGUGCCAUGUACGACGUUACACAUCAUCAUCAUGGUGGACAUUUUGCUAUUCUGCCUUAACUGGACAAUGUAUUUUCCUUGAUAUCUGCUAAACCAUACACGAUAACACAGAAAAGGUGUUGCCUACUCUAAAAAGCAUUCACCUGGAUACUUGAGAUUCCCUGCUGUUUCCAGUAGUCAGAGCAUCUCUGUGAUCCUGGUAAAGAACCCUCAUGGUUAACAGGUUCUGUCCAGUUGGGUCAUAAUCAAGGCUCAUGAUCAUCUCAUGAAGCCUUGGAUUCACUUGUAGGAGACGAUCCAGUCGUUCAUGGUUUCGGGCUAUCCUCAGAGAAGCCAAUGGUGGAAUAUGGUCUGCCUCUGCCAUGCCAAAGUUACCCAGACCAAACUGAGAUGGUCUACCUUUUUUAACACUUAUGAGGAUAGAACAGGAAGUAUCAGUGGGCUAACAUCAUUCUUGUGUCAAUUCAAAAGGAAUUAUACAAUGUAAUAGGAAUUAUAUCAUGAAAAUAAUGGUAUAAUAGGCCUAUCCAUGCUCUUAUGAAUAAAAAGGCACAUUGUACUCAGUAAAGAAGACUUGAUAGAAAUAUGUAAAAAAUGAUAGACCUACUUUUUAUAAGUGUCAACCACUCCAAGGCCGUAAGCAAUUAUGAUGGUAGUUUCAUUGCUGCUCGGCUGUCCUUCUGUCUUCUUGCUGGCAGCAUUUCCAGUGGGUUCAUUUCCAGAAGCUUCAUUUGACUUUACCUUCACGGAACGUGUUAUUAUGGGACUUCCUGGAUGAUAUGAAGGUUUCUUAUGAAUCGCCUUAAUCAAUAUAAAGCCCCCUACUGCGACUGUUCCCAAUGCUACUGGAAACGCAAGGGGCCCCAAAAACGGUAUCAGACCCAAGGCUGGAAGACCCAUUUCAACUCUUGGUAGCCUACAAUGUCUUGUAGCCCAACUCUGGUUUCUCAGCAAAUGUCCUCUCUGAGUUGAGCUCUUAUACUCUUGACGCAGUUAGAAAUGUUUGCCAGAUGGCACAGAACAGUGGUGGUGCUGUAGAGCAGCAAAUGACCAAUGAGUCAUGAAGUCUAUAAAUAGGCCUCUUUGUUUGUGUUAGAAAAGGCAGGCCAUGGGGAGGAAUGCUCAAAGUUGGAAUUGCUGGAGAAGAGCUCAUAUCCACAUUCUGAACUUAUGUACUUUAAGGGAGAACUUGUAGGAUAGUAAGGGUUUGAACAG
Long non-coding RNA from Oncorhynchus tshawytscha (Chinook salmon), 5802 nucleotides. Lineage: Eukaryota; Metazoa; Chordata; Actinopteri; Salmoniformes; Salmonidae. The record is from Ensembl.